GGUCAAUCGGCUGCCAGCCGGAUUGGCCAGCGUAUCAUUCCAGAAUGUACUGUUUGUUCUGUGGGGUUUAGGAGUUCUACAGUGGUUCUGCCCCAUCUUUCUAAAAAUACAAUACAGGGUCUCACUAUGUUACCCAGGCUGGUCUUGAACUCCUGGGCUCAAGCAAUCCUCCCACUUUGGCCUCUCAAAGCACUGGGAUUACAGGGUCUUACUCUGUCACCCAGGCUGGAGUACAGUGGUGUGAUAUCGGCUCACUGCAACCUCUGCCUACCUGGUUCAAGUGAUUCUCCUGCCUCAGCCUCCCGAGUAGCUGGGACUACAGACUUGCCAAAGAAGCUGCUUAUUUCACAGAAGGAUGGUGCUGGCUGAAAGAUACUUCCUUGAAACUGAGAGAUUGCUUCCUUAGACAGGUCUCCUUGAAGAGAAUCCCACUCUGUCAGCCCGGCUG
Molecule: non-coding RNA, 448 nt
Filed under: Pan troglodytes (chimpanzee)
Lineage: Eukaryota; Metazoa; Chordata; Mammalia; Primates; Hominidae
Source: RNAcentral